Wasmannia auropunctata (little fire ant) is the source of this 469-nucleotide long non-coding RNA. RefSeq lists it as uncharacterized. The transcript is spliced from 2 exons. Lineage: Eukaryota; Metazoa; Arthropoda; Insecta; Hymenoptera; Formicidae. The record is from RefSeq and is a predicted model, not a curated record.
CGCACAAGUUGAAGGGGAUAAUUUAAUUCUAAGGAGAAGAUAAAUUCAAAUUGCUCAAUUAGUGCACGCCUGCGAGUUUCGACCCAUUAAUUCAGUGGCAUCCCGUUAUCCGAUCGCGCAUCGAAGAUGACACUCGCGAAACAAUCUCGGUACUCGCGAUGGCUAUCUCGUUCACGAAGAUGCGAUCGCCGGCAUCGAAACCUCGAGUGCGCGUCAUCACGAUAAGAUCGCGCGCGGUGUGACGCAUGAUUGGCUAUUAAGCGAUCGGCGACAUAAAAUUUUAUUACCGUCAUCCUCGUCGCAGCCGAGGUGCGAACAUGUGAUCGUCAUGAUUUUCGAUCACGCGAUAAAGACAACUAGUUUGACUAAUUUCGAGAUCAACUGGUUCUUACACUCGUAUAGAGUACACUGCAACAAUAUACAUUUUACAGCAAAAAAAUUAAAUUAAUAAAAAAGUACUCCUUCUCUA